GGAAAUAGCUCAGUGAUCGAGUGCUUGCUUCACAUGCAUGAGGUCCUGGGUUCAAUCCUCAGUACUUCCA
This 70-nucleotide transfer RNA is filed under the name Camelus bactrianus (Bactrian camel). It matches the Rfam family "tRNA". Rfam says of the family: Transfer RNA (tRNA) molecules are approximately 80 nucleotides in length. Their secondary structure includes four short double-helical elements and three loops (D, anti-codon, and T loops). RNAcentral also lists the same sequence under 2 other names. Lineage: Eukaryota; Metazoa; Chordata; Mammalia; Artiodactyla; Camelidae. The record is from Rfam by way of RNAcentral.